This 219-nucleotide ribosomal RNA is filed under the name uncultured bacterium. RNAcentral describes it as "partial 16S ribosomal RNA". It matches the Rfam family "Bacterial small subunit ribosomal RNA", at positions 57 to 305 of the family's 1533-position model. The record is from RNAcentral.
GCAAGUCGUACGAUCUCUUCGGAGAGAGUGGCGGACGGGUGAGUAAUACUUGGGAAUCUACCCUGGAGUGGGGGACAACAUUUGGAAACAGAUGCUAAUACCGCAUAAUCCAUAUUGGGAAAGCUUCGGCGCUCUAGGAGGAGCCCAAGUCUGAUUAGCUAGUUGGUGAGGUAAAGGCUCACCAAGGCGACGAUCCCUAGCUGGUCUGAGAGGAUGAUC